GGUGAAGAACGUAGUGAAACGCGAUAGGUAAUGUGAAUUGCAGAAUUCCGUGAAUCAUCGAAUCUUUGAACGCACAUUGCGCCUUCUGGUAUUCCGGUAGGCAUGUCUGUCUGAGCGUCAGCAAACACCCCUGAGCUGAAUCUUUUGUUAGGUUCACGCUGGUCUUGGGCGCGGAUGUUGGAGGGUAACCUCCCACGCCAGCCCUAAACUUGCUGCACGACCGCUGGCUUCGGCUGGGUCAAUGGAGGUGUCACAAUCUUCCAGAAGGCCUUCUAGAGCUCGGUGGCGUUAAACCUGCUGUUACCCUUGUGGUGACCGAAGUUUUGACCUCAGAUCAGAUAAGGAUACCCGCUGAACUUAAGCAUAUCAAUAAGCGGAGGA
RNAcentral lists this unclassified non-coding RNA (381 nucleotides) under soil metagenome. RNAcentral's name for it is "partial contains 5.8S ribosomal RNA, internal transcribed spacer 2, and large subunit ribosomal RNA". The stretch from base 3 to 120 matches the Rfam family "5.8S ribosomal RNA", at positions 37 to 154 of the family's 154-position model. The record is from RNAcentral.